This 473-nucleotide ribosomal RNA is filed under the name uncultured bacterium. RNAcentral describes it as "bacterial SSU rRNA". It matches the Rfam family "Bacterial small subunit ribosomal RNA", at positions 26 to 518 of the family's 1533-position model. The record is from RNAcentral.
AGGACGAACGCUGGCGGCGUGCCUAACACAUGCAAGUCGAGCGAUGAGGCCCUCGGGUGGAUUAGCGGCGGACGGGUGAGUAACACGUGGGUAACCUGCCUCAAAGAGGGGGAUAGCCUCCCGAAAGGGAGAUUAAUACCGCAUAACAUUAUUUCUUCGCAUGAAGAGAUAAUCAAAGGAGUAAUCCGCUUUGAGAUGGACCCGCGGCGCAUUAGCUAGUUGGUGAGGUAAUGGCUCACCAAGGCGACGAUGCGUAGCCGACCUGAGAGGGUGAUCGGCCACAUUGGAACUGAGAUACGGUCCAGACUCCUACGGGAGGCAGCAGUGGGGAAUAUUGCGCAAUGGGGGAAACCCUGAACCGCAGCAACGCCGCGUGGGUGAAGAAGGCCUUCGGGUUGUAAAGCUCUGUCUUCUGGGACGAUAAUGACGGUACCAGAGGAGGAAGCCACGGCUAACUACGUGCCAGCCGCCGC